ACCGGAUACUCUCUUUGGACCGCAUGGUCCGCUGAGGAAACAGUCCGCUGCUAGGGGAUGGUCUCGCGGCCUAUCAGGUAGUUGGUGAGGUAACGGCUCACCAAGCCGAAGACGGGUAGCUGGUCUGAGAGGACGAUCAGCCACACUGGAACUGAGACACGGUCCAGACUCCUACGGGAGGCAGCAGCAGGGAAUAUUGCACAAUGGGCGAAAGCCUGAUGCAGCGACACCGCGUGCGGGAUGACGGCCUUAGGGUUGUAAACCGCUUUCAGGAGGGAAGAAAAUGACGGUACCUCCAGAAGAAGCUCCGGCCAACUACGUGCCAGCAGCCGCGGUAAUACGUAGGGAGCAAACGUUGUCCGGAUUUAUUGGGCGUAAAGGGCUCGUAGGCGGUUCAACAAGUCGAUCGUGAAAGCCCGGGGCUCAACCCCGGGAGGCCGGUCGAAACUGUUGUGACUAGAGUUCGGUAGAGGUGAGUGGAAUUCUCGGUGUAGCGGUGGAAUGCGCAGAUAUCGAGAGGAACACCAUUAGCGAAGCGGCUCACUGGGCCGAUACUGACGCUGAGGAGCGAAAGCGUGGGGAGCAAACAGGAUUAGAAACCCUGGUAGUCCACGCCGUAAACGAUGAACACUAGGUGUAGCGGACUAAUUCACGUCUGCUGCGCCGUAGCUAACGCAUUAAGUGUUCCGCCUGGGGAGUACGGCCGCAAGGCUAAAACUCAAAGGAAUUGACGGGGCCCCGCACAAGCGGCGGAGCAUGCGGCUUAAUUCGAUGCAACCCGAAGAACCUUACCUGGGUUUGACAUCAUGGGUCUAGCUGUGGAAACACAGUGUGCGUAAGCGCCCAUGACAGGUGGUGCAUGGCUGUCGUCAGCUCGUGUCGUGAGAUGUUGGGUUAAGUCCCGCAACGAGCGCAACCCUUGUCCUAUGUUGCCAGCACGUAAUGGUGGGGACUCAUGGGAGACUGCCGGGGACAACUCGGAGGAAGGCGAGGACGAUGUCAAGUCAUCAUGCCCCUUAUAUCCAGGGCUGCACGCAUGCUACAAUGGGCGAUACAAUGGGCUGCGAUCCCGCGAGGGUCAGCUAAUCCCUUAAAGUCGUCCUCAGUUCGGAUUGGAGUCUGCAACUCGACUCCAUGAAGCCGGAGUCGCUAGUAAUCGUGGAUCAGCAAAGCCACGGUGAAUACGUUCUCGGGGCUUGU
This 1200-nucleotide ribosomal RNA is filed under the name uncultured bacterium. Its description in RNAcentral is "bacterial SSU rRNA". It matches the Rfam family "Bacterial small subunit ribosomal RNA", at positions 168 to 1384 of the family's 1533-position model. The record is from RNAcentral.